This 1365-nucleotide ribosomal RNA is filed under the name Escherichia coli. RNAcentral describes it as "partial 23S ribosomal RNA". It matches the Rfam family "Bacterial large subunit ribosomal RNA", at positions 398 to 1765 of the family's 2925-position model. The record is from RNAcentral. Lineage: Bacteria; Pseudomonadati; Pseudomonadota; Gammaproteobacteria; Enterobacterales; Enterobacteriaceae.
UGUGAGCUCGAUGAGUAGGGCGGGACACGUGGUAUCCUGUCUGAAUAUGGGGGGACCAUCCUCCAAGGCUAAAUACUCCUGACUGACCGAUAGUGAACCAGUACCGUGAGGGAAAGGCGAAAAGAACCCCGGCGAGGGGAGUGAAAAAGAACCUGAAACCGUGUACGUACAAGCAGUGGGAGCACGCUUCGGCGUGUGACUGCGUACCUUUUGUAUAAUGGGUCAGCGACUUAUAUUCUGUAGCAAGGUUAACCGAAUAGGGGAGCCGAAGGGAAACCGAGUCUUAACUGGGCGUUAAGUUGCAGGGUAUAGACCCGAAACCCGGUGAUCUAGCCAUGGGCAGGUUGAAGGUUGGGUAACACUAACUGGAGGACCGAACCGACUAAUGUUGAAAAAUUAGCGGAUGACUUGUGGCUGGGGGUGAAAGGCCAAUCAAACCGGGAGAUAGCUGGUUCUCCCCGAAAGCUAUUUAGGUAGCGCCUCGUGAAUUCAUCUCCGGGGGUAGAGCACUGUUUCGGCAAGGGGGUCAUCCCGACUUACCAACCCGAUGCAAACUGCGAAUACCGGAGAAUGUUAUCACGGGAGACACACGGCGGGUGCUAACGUCCGUCGUGAAGAGGGAAACAACCCAGACCGCCAGCUAAGGUCCCAAAGUCAUGGUUAAGUGGGAAACGAUGUGGGAAGGCCCAGACAGCCAGGAUGUUGGCUUAGAAGCAGCCAUCAUUUAAAGAAAGCGUAAUAGCUCACUGGUCGAGUCGGCCUGCGCGGAAGAUGUAACGGGGCUAAACCAUGCACCGAAGCUGCGGCAGCGACGCUGAUGCGUUGUUGGGUAGGGGAGCGUUCUGUAAGCCUGCGAAGGUGUGCUGUGAGGCAUGCUGGAGGUAUCAGAAGUGCGAAUGCUGACAUAAGUAACGAUAAAGCGGGUGAAAAGCCCGCUCGCCGGAAGACCAAGGGUUCCUGUCCAACGUUAAUCGGGGCAGGGUGAGUCGACCCCUAAGGCGAGGCCGAAAGGCGUAGUCGAUGGGAAACAGGUUAAUAUUCCUGUACUUGGUGUUACUGCGAAGGGGGGACGGAGAAGGCUAUGUUGGCCGGGCGACGGUUGUCCCGGUUUAAGCGUGUAGGCUGGUUUUCCAGGCAAAUCCGGAAAAUCAAGGCUGAGGCGUGAUGACGAGGCACUACGGUGCUGAAGCAACAAAUGCCCUGCUUCCAGGAAAAGCCUCUAAGCAUCAGGUAACAUCAAAUCGUACCCCAAACCGACACAGGUGGUCAGGUAGAGAAUACCAAGGCGCUUGAGAGAACUCGGGUGAAGGAACUAGGCAAAAUGGUGCCGUAACUUCGGGAGAAGGCACGCUGAUAUGUAGGUGA